AGAGGUCUCCAGCGUUGUUCGGAUUCAUUGGGCGUAAAGGGUGCGUAGGUGGUGACGCAAGUCUGGUGUGAAAUCUCGGAGCUUAACUCCGAAACUGCACCGGAUACUGCGUGACUCGAGGACUGUAGAGGAGAUCGGAAUUCACGGUGUAGCAGUGAAAUGCGUAGAUAUCGUGAGGAAGACCAGUUGCGAAGGCGGAUCUCUGGGCAGUUCCUGACACUGAGGCACGAAGGCCAGGGGAGCAAACGGGAUUAGAUACCCCGGUAGUCCUGGCAGUAAACGGUGCACGUUUGGUGUGGGCGGGUUCAGACCCCGUCCGUGCCGGAGCUAACGCGUUAAACGUGCCGCCUGGGAAGUACGGUCGCAAGAUUA
This 372-nucleotide ribosomal RNA is filed under the name uncultured bacterium. RNAcentral describes it as "bacterial SSU rRNA". It matches the Rfam family "Bacterial small subunit ribosomal RNA", at positions 527 to 896 of the family's 1533-position model. The record is from RNAcentral.